RNAcentral lists this ribosomal RNA (1402 nucleotides) under synthetic construct. RNAcentral's name for it is "bacterial SSU rRNA". It matches the Rfam family "Bacterial small subunit ribosomal RNA". RNAcentral also lists the same sequence under 2 other names. The record is from RNAcentral.
AGAGUUUGAUCCUGGCUCAGGAUGAAUUCUAGCGACAGGCUUAACACAUGCAAGUCGAGGGGCAGCGCGGUGGUGGCAACACCACCGGCGGCGACCGGCGCACGGGUGAGUAACACGUAUGCAACCUGCCCUCCACAGGGGGAUAAUCGGGAGAAAUCCCGUCUAAUACCGCAUAACGCCAACCGGGGGCAUCCCCGGUUGGCCAAAGGAGCGAUCCGGUGGGGGCUGGGCAUGCGCCGCAUUAGCCAGUUGGCGGGGUAACGGCCCACCAAGGCGACGAUUCGUAGGGGUUCUGAGAGGAAGGUCCCCCACACUGGUACUGAGACACGGACCAGACUCCUACGGGAGGCAGCAGUGAGGAAUAUUGGUCAAUGGGCGGAAGCCUGAACCAGCCAAGUCGCGUGAGGGAAGACGGUCCUAUGGAUUGUAAACCUCUUUUGUCGGGGAGCAAGGGGCGCCACGAGUGGCGUCAAGCGAGAGUACCCGAAGAAAAAGCAUCGGCUAACUCCGUGCCAGCAGCCGCGGUAAUACGGAGGAUGCGAGCGUUAUCCGGAUUUAUUGGGUUUAAAGGGUGCGUAGGCGGCACGCCAAGUCAGCGGUGAAAUUUCCGGGCUCAACCCGGAGUGUGCCGUUGAAACUGGCGAGCUAGAGUACACAAGAGGCAGGCGGAAUGCGUGGUGUAGCGGUGAAAUGCAUAGAUAUCACGCAGAACCCCGAUUGCGAAGGCAGCCUGCUAGGGUGAAACAGACGCUGAGGCACGAAAGCGUGGGUAUCGAACAGGAUUAGAUACCCUGGUAGUCCACGCAGUAAACGAUGAAUACUAACUGGUUUGCGAUACAAUGUAAGCGGUACAGCGAAAGCGUUAAGUAUUCCACCUGGGGAGUACGCCGGGCAACGGUGAAACUCAAAGGAAUUGACGGGGGCCCGCACAAGCGGAGGAACAUGUGGUUUAAUUCGAUGAUACGCGAGGAACCUUACCCGGGCUCAAACGACGCAGGAAUGUUUUUGAAAGGAGGCAGCCCUUCGGGGCCUGCGUCGAGGUGCUGCAUGGUUGUCGUCAGCUCGUGCCGUGAGGUGUCGGCUUAAGUGCCAUAACGAGCGCAACCCCCAUUGACAGUUGCUAACAGGUAAAGCUGAGGACUCUGUCGAGACUGCCGGCGCAAGCUGUGAGGAAGGCGGGGAUGACGUCAAAUCAGCACGGCCCUUACGUCCGGGGCGACACACGUGUUACAAUGGCAGGUACAGCGGGAGGCCACCUGGCGACAGGGAGCGGAACCCGAAAGCCUGUCUCAGUUCGGAUUGGAGUCUGCAACCCGACUCCAUGAAGCUGGAUUCGCUAGUAAUCGCGCAUCAGCCACGGCGCGGUGAAUACGUUCCCGGGCCUUGCACACACCGCCCGUCA